AUAUUGGACAAUGGGCGCAAGCCUGAUCCAGCCAUGCCGCGUGAGUGAAGAAGGCCCUCGGGUUGUAAAGCUCUUUUGUCCGGAAAGAAAAGCAUCGGGUUAAUACCCCGGUGGUCUGACGGUACCGGAAGAAUAAGCACCGGCUAACUUCGUGCCAGCAGCCGCGGUAAUACGAAGGGUGCAAGCGUUACUCGGAAUUACUGGGCGUAAAGCGUGCGUAGGUGGUUCGUUAAGGCUGAUGUGAAAGCCCUGGGCUCAACCCGGGAAUGGCAUUGGAAACUGGCGGACUGGAGUGCGGUAGAGGGUAGGGGAAUUCCCGGUGGAGCAGUGAAAUGCGUAGAGAUCGGAAAGAACAACCGUGGCGAAGGCAGCUACCUGGACCGGCACUGACACUGAGGCACGAAAGCGUGGGGAGCAAACA
This 421-nucleotide ribosomal RNA is filed under the name uncultured bacterium. Its description in RNAcentral is "bacterial SSU rRNA". It matches the Rfam family "Bacterial small subunit ribosomal RNA", at positions 361 to 774 of the family's 1533-position model. The record is from RNAcentral.